GUCUUUGUGGUCUAGAGGUAUGUUUCAUACCACUCGAUCAUGACGAAUAUUGCGUGCUAACGGCACGCUCAGGUAUGAUUCUCGCUUAGGGUAAACCCUGAAGCAUCUUGCGAGAGGUCCCGGGUUCGACUCCCGGCAAAGAGU
Non-coding RNA from Knufia fluminis, 144 nucleotides. The record is from the annotation of a GenBank genome assembly. Lineage: Eukaryota; Fungi; Ascomycota; Eurotiomycetes; Chaetothyriales; Trichomeriaceae.